RNAcentral lists this ribosomal RNA (530 nucleotides) under uncultured bacterium. RNAcentral describes it as "bacterial SSU rRNA". It matches the Rfam family "Bacterial small subunit ribosomal RNA", at positions 51 to 615 of the family's 1533-position model. The record is from RNAcentral.
AUGCAUGCAGUCGAACGCAGCGGCCGUGUGCCGGCUGCGUGGCGAACGGCUGAGGAACACGUGGGUGACCACCCCCGGAGUGGGGGAUACCCCGUCGAAAGACGGGACAAUCCCGCAUACGCUCUACGGAGGAAAGCCGCAACGGCGCUCCGGGACGGGCCUGCGGCCCAUCAGGUAGUUGGUGUGGUAACGGCGCACCAAGCCAGUGACGGGUACCCGGUCUGAGAGGACGGCCGGGCAGACUGGGACUGCGACACGGCCCAGACUCCUACGGGAGGCAGCAGCAAGGAAUUUUCCCCAAUGGGCGCAAGCCUGAGGGAGCAACGCCGCGUGGAGGACGACGGCCUUCGGGUUGUAAACUCCUUUCGGGUGGGACGAGCAUGACGGUACCACCUACGAAUGCAGCCCCGGCUAACUCUGUGCCAGCAGCCGCGGUAAGACAGAGGGGGCAAGCGUUGUCCGGAGUUACUGGGCGUAAAGGGCGCGGAGGCGGCCUGCUGCGUCGGCGCUGAAAGCGCCCCGCUUAACGG